ACAUAGCCCUUGAAAAAAUCAAAGGUGUAACCUGCCCAAUGAUUUUAAAUUUCAUAAGAAUAAUCUUUUAUAAUAAAAUUUAAAGGACGCAGUAACCUGACUGUGGUAAUGUAGCAUAAUCAUUCGCCAUUUAAUUGAUGGAUAGUAUGAAUGGUUGAACGAAUUCUUCACUGUCUUAAAAAGAGAAAUCAUGAAAUUAAAAUAAUAGUUAAGAUGCUAUUUACUAUUGUAAGACGAAAAGACCCUAUAGAGCUUAACUACAAAUUUUUUAAUAAAAAGAAAUUUUUAAAAUUCUAAAACAAAAAGUUGGGUAGUUUAGUUGGGGCGACUAUCUUCUAAAAUUAACGAAGACAAGCAACAUUAAUAAUUAAUUUAUUGUAUAAUCCAUAAAUUUAACAAUUACAAAAGUAGGCUAUAAUGACCCGUUAUAAUCUAAUAAUAGAAAUAACGAUCAAUAAAUAAAAGCUACCUUAGGGAUAACAGGAUAAUUUUGUUCUAGAGAUCUUAUCGAAAACAAAGUUUGUCACCUCUAUGUUGAAUUAAGAUA
This 547-nucleotide ribosomal RNA is filed under the name Clava multicornis (club hydroid). Its description in RNAcentral is "partial 16S ribosomal RNA". It matches the Rfam family "Bacterial large subunit ribosomal RNA", at positions 1813 to 2544 of the family's 2925-position model. Lineage: Eukaryota; Metazoa; Cnidaria; Hydrozoa; Anthoathecata; Hydractiniidae. The record is from RNAcentral.